CCUACGGGGGGCUGCAGUAGGGAAUAUUGGACAAUGGGCGCAAGCCUGAUCCAGCCAUCCCGCGUGAAGGAUUAAGGCCCUCUGGGUUGUAAACUUCUUUUCUUUGGGAAUAAAAACUCCGAUUCAUCGGAGCUUGAAGGUACCAGAGGAAUAAGCACCGGCUAACUCCGUGCCAGCAGCCGCGGUAAUACGGAGGGUGCAAGCGUUAUCCGGAUUCACGGGGGUGAAAGGGUGCGUAGGUGGCAUUGGUGAAAGCCCGGAGCUCAACUCCGGAACUGCCAUUGAUACUGCUUAGCUUGAAUCAGGUCGAGGUGGAUGGAAUAUUGAAUGUAGCGGUGAAAUGCUUAGAUAUGUAAGAGAACACCGAUUGCGAAGGCAGUUCACUAGGCCUGUAUUGACACUGAGGCACGAAAGCGUGGGGAUCAAACAGGAUUAGAUACCCCGGUAGUC
This 450-nucleotide ribosomal RNA is filed under the name uncultured bacterium. RNAcentral's name for it is "partial 16S ribosomal RNA". It matches the Rfam family "Bacterial small subunit ribosomal RNA", at positions 338 to 795 of the family's 1533-position model. The record is from RNAcentral.